ACCAGCAUAGCUUAGUGGUCUGAGUGUUGGACUACAACUCUGGAGACCAAGGUUCGAUUCCCCUCUCAGCUA
Molecule: non-coding RNA, 72 nt
Organism: Phrynosoma platyrhinos (Desert horned lizard)
Lineage: Eukaryota; Metazoa; Chordata; Lepidosauria; Squamata; Phrynosomatidae
Source: the annotation of a GenBank genome assembly